RNAcentral lists this ribosomal RNA (497 nucleotides) under uncultured bacterium. RNAcentral's name for it is "partial 16S ribosomal RNA". It matches the Rfam family "Bacterial small subunit ribosomal RNA", at positions 28 to 507 of the family's 1533-position model. The record is from RNAcentral.
GAUGAACGCUGGCGGCGUGCCUAAUACAUGCAAGUCGAGCGAACGGACGAGAAGCUUGCUUCUCUGAUGUUAGCGGCGGACGGGUGAGUAACACGUGGAUAACCUACCUAUAAGACUGGGAUAACUUCGGGAAACCGGAGCUAAUACCGGAUAAUAUUUUGAACCGCAUGGUUCAAAAGUGAAAGACGGUCUUGCUGUCACUUAUAGAUGGAUCCGCGCUGCAUUAGCUAGUUGGUAAGGUAACGGCUUACCAAGGCAACGAUGCAUAGCCGACCUGAGAGGGUGAUCGGCCACACGGGAACUUGGACACGCUCCAGACUCCUACGGGAGGCAGCAGUAGGGAAUCUUCCGCAAUGGGCGAGAGCCUGACGGAGCAACGCCGCGUGAGUGAUGAAGGUCUUCGGAUCGUAAAACUCUGUUAUUAGGGAAGAACAUAUGUGUAAGUAACUGUGCACAUCUUGACGGUACCUAAUCAGAAAGCCACGGCUAACUACGUG